UUUUUUUUUUUUUGGUAAAUUACAAAUGGUACUUGCAGUAACCUAACCUUGCCAUGCUAUAUGGGCAACCAAGUAUUCCAAUAAUUUAUACAAUCGAAAACAAAAGAAAAGCCCACUAAGAAGUAAUACCUCCAUUACAUGUUUACAUUUCAGGUUCAAAACCCUGACAUCCCUCUUCCAAGAUUUGGCCCUCCAAUUUACCUAAAAAAAAAAAGAAAAAGAAAAGGGAGAACAUGGUUUUCUCAAACCUAUCGAUGAAGCAAUUGAUCAGCCAAAAUGUGUGGGGUAAGUGCCCUUUUCGGGCACAGUUUCCCUUGUGAUAAAGGGACGACAUUA
Molecule: long non-coding RNA, 336 nt
Filed under: Populus tremula
Lineage: Eukaryota; Viridiplantae; Streptophyta; Magnoliopsida; Malpighiales; Salicaceae
Description: long non-coding RNA (PTRE_LNC001419)
Source: RNAcentral